Molecule: long non-coding RNA, 1040 nt
Filed under: Mus spicilegus (steppe mouse)
Lineage: Eukaryota; Metazoa; Chordata; Mammalia; Rodentia; Muridae
Description: lncRNA (ENSMSIG00000018218.1)
Source: RNAcentral
CGCGAAUUUGCAUGAAAAAUGUGUGAGAAAAGCUAGCUCCGGUGACCUCAUCCGCACCUGCCAUUAACGUUCAAUUAGCGGCUGAAUAGUGGCUGCCGACGCGACGUGCAGAGAAUCCUGCCUGCCCCGCGCAGCUCGGCGGCUGGCGGGGCGCGGGAUCGGGAGGAGGGGCGCGGCGAGACUCAGGGCUCCGCCUGCGGCUCGGGGCUCCAACACCCAGGGCCUCCGCACCCCUAAUCUCAAAGGACCCCAGAACCCCAGAGCCCUGGAGCACUAGGCAGUUUGGGGCGAGUCGGAGCCUUGGAGUGCAGGCUCUCCGGGUCUGCCGGACCGGUGGUGGCGGGCGAGUCGUGUCCCGGCUCAGACAGGCUUCCUCGCCACCUUCCGGACAAAGUGUCAAGUACAAGUUCAAGUUCAGGGGUUGGCCCCAGGAGGAAGGGGGUGGGGGGAGCCAUCCCCAGCUGCCUUUGUUCUCCGGGAUAAGCGCUCUCACGUCCCCGUCCCGGGCGGGGCUCGGCAGAUACCCCCGCCCCGCCCCGCCGCGCCCCGCAGGAGCCACCUCCUCCCGCCCGCACGGCGCCUGUGCCUGGGUCCCGGCGACCCUCCUCAGGGCCACCGAAAGGUCUUGGGGCUUGGGGAGGGGGCGGGGGGGGCGGUCCCUGCCCGUGGGAGCCUCCCCGGCCCCGCAGUCCCAGCAGCAAACUGCGCUUGGUCGGACGGGAUGCCCGCGCAGAGGGAAGUUGAGAGAAGGCAUGCCUUUGGAGACUGGAAACCUGGAGGUCAUUUCUGAGCAAGAAUUCUGGGAAUCCUUCAGGUCUUCAAUCUCUGCUCGCAGCACCUGGGUAGAGAUGGUUCCAGGGAGGAGCCUGAGUGGGCGAUUCAGUUCCAGAGCCGCAGUAGUAGCACCACCCAAACUUGGAAAAAGAAUCAUGUUGAUCGCCAGAGAAGGAAUCUCAUCGGAAGUAGACUUCAUUCAGAGGGGUGCCAGUAGCAAAGAGGCUCCUGGAUUGCAUCCUGACUGCCCUGGAGGGAGGAUGUGA